Molecule: non-coding RNA, 124 nt
Organism: Triticum urartu
Lineage: Eukaryota; Viridiplantae; Streptophyta; Magnoliopsida; Poales; Poaceae
Source: Rfam
UACAUACUCCCUCCGUCCCAAAAUAAGUGUCGUGGUUUUAGUUCAAAAUUUUUGAACUGGUUUUAGUGUUCAAAAUUUUUGAACUAAAACCACGGCACUUAUUUUGGGACGGAGGGAGUAGUUA